UACGUAGGGUGCAAGCGUUGUCCGGAAUUAUUGGGCGUAAAGAGCUCGUAGGCGGUUUGUUGCGUCGGCUGUGAAAUCCCGAGGCUCAACUCCGGGCCUGCAGCCGAUACGGGCAGACUAGAGUUCGGCAGGGGAGACUGGAAUUCCUGGUGUAGCGGUGAAAUGCGCAGAUAUCAGGAGGAACACCGGUGGCGAAGGCGGGUCUCUGGGCCGAUACUGACGCUGAGGAGCGAAAGCGUGGGGAGCGAACAGG
Molecule: ribosomal RNA, 253 nt
Filed under: uncultured bacterium
Lineage: Bacteria
Description: partial 16S ribosomal RNA
Rfam family: Bacterial small subunit ribosomal RNA
Source: RNAcentral